UUAUACCAAAAUCUUAUACCAAAUGAUGUGGCAUGUUCAAACUCAUUAACUUUAUUAGAAAGGAAUAGCUACAUGGAUUUUGUACUAUUUUUUUUAUUAGAAAACAUUAAAAUCAAUAUAUAUAUUUUUUCUAGUUUUUAUCAACAUAUUUUAAAUCAAUCAAUCAUACGAAAAAAAAAAAUUUUUAAAAAUAAGAGAAAUGAAACAUUUGUUUCUAAAAAAAAUAUUUAGACCUUUUACAAGGUCGUCACCCUAUCGAUCAAGGCAUAUGAAUCAGAUGAUCAUAUGUCAUCCAACUCUAUAGACAUUGUCACAUCCCGACCCUUAUAUUUUUACCUUAUUUACUAGCGUGAUUAUAAUAAGAAUUUUACCGUCUCCGUCAUUGAGUAAAUAGUUUAAUUGGUCCCUAGAGGGGUUUCGGGGACGAUUAUGUGCGGAGGAUUAUUAGUAUGAAGAAAAUACGACGACGGUAAAAAUAGUAAAUUUUAGCUAGUAAAAGGUAAUUUUUAUUCGGGUAUUAUUUUUCGGGGUGUUGAAUUUUGGAUUAAAAGGAGAGUUGGGUCGGCUGGGCCGAGCCCAACCCAUUUCUUCUUCCUUUCUCUCUCUCUUCCUCCCGAUUUUUCUUCUCUUCCCACCCGAGUUUUUUCUCUCUACACCCAGCAGACUUCCGGCCGUCCUCCCGCCGCCGUCCGGCCACCAGCUGCCGCCGCUCCAGCCCAGAUCGGACCCCCGUCACCUCCUCUCCCUCCCCGGCCUAGCCCCCCGAGCCUCUAACCCGCCGGAGAGGAGAAAAAGCCGCCGGAACCGCCGACUGUGUCUUCGCCGGAGCUCCGUCCUCCGGCCACCAUAGGUCGUGAUUUUUUGGCUCAACUUGUAGCCCUCAUCUAGGUG
RNAcentral lists this long non-coding RNA (891 nucleotides) under Fragaria vesca (wild strawberry). Its description in RNAcentral is "long non-coding RNA (FVES_LNC005137)". The record is from RNAcentral. Lineage: Eukaryota; Viridiplantae; Streptophyta; Magnoliopsida; Rosales; Rosaceae.